This 492-nucleotide ribosomal RNA is filed under the name uncultured bacterium. RNAcentral's name for it is "partial 16S ribosomal RNA". It matches the Rfam family "Bacterial small subunit ribosomal RNA", at positions 29 to 507 of the family's 1533-position model. The record is from RNAcentral.
AGUGAACGCUGGCGGUAGGCCUAACACAUGCAAGUCGAACGGCAGCACAGUAAGAGCUUGCUCUUACGGGUGGCGAGUGGCGGACGAGUGAGGAAUACAUCGGAAUCUACUUUUUCGUGGGGGAUAACGUAGGGAAACUUACGCUAAUACCGCAUACGACCUACGGGUGAAAGCAGGGGAUCUUCGGACCUUGCGCGAUUGAAUGAGCCGAUGUCGGAUUAGCUAGUUGGCGGGGUAAAGGCCCACCAAGGCGACGAUCCGUAGCUGGUCUGAGAGGAUGAUCAGCCACACUGGAACUGAGACACGGUCCAGACUCCUACGGGAGGCAGCAGUGGGGAAUAUUGGACAAUGGGCGCAAGCCUGAUCCAGCCAUACCGCGUGGGUGAAGAAGGCCUUCGGGUUGUAGAGCCCUUUUGUUGGGAAAGAGAAGCAGCAGGUUAAUACCCCGCUGUUCUGACGGUACCCAAAGAAUAAGCACCGGCUAACUUCGUG